RNAcentral lists this non-coding RNA (76 nucleotides) under Hydrogenophaga sp. RNAcentral describes it as "SAH sequence". It matches the Rfam family "SAH (S-adenosyl-L-homocysteine) riboswitch aptamer". The record is from RNAcentral. Lineage: Bacteria; Pseudomonadati; Pseudomonadota; Betaproteobacteria; Burkholderiales; Comamonadaceae.
CAUCCGAGGAGCGUUGCAGCGUCCCCACUUGCGGGGCGUGAGGCUCGGACCAUCCAUGCAACGACGCUCAUCCACA